CGCGAAUAGCUCAUUACAACAGCUAACAAAUCUACUUGAUCUUGACACAAUCCUACUUGGAUAACUGUGGUAAUUCUAGAGCUAAUACAUGCAUUAAAGCUCUGACCUUCGGGGAAGAGUGCAUUUAUUAGAACAAAACCAAGCGGCUUCGGCUGUUUUCGGUUGACCCAUAGUAACUGAGCUGAUCGCAUGGUCUUGCACCGGCGACGUGUCUUUCGAGUAUCUGCCGUAUCAACUUUCGAUGGUAGUGUAUCUGACUACCAUGGUGAUCACGCGUAACGGAGAAUAAGGGUUCGACUCCGGAGAGUUCGCCUGAGAAAUCGCGAACACAUCUAAGGAAGGCAGCAGGCGCGAAAAUUACCCACUCUCAGCACGAGGAGGUAGUGACGAAAAAUAACGAGACCGUUCUCUUAUGAGGCCGGUCAUCGGAAUGGGUACAAUUUAAACCCUUUAACGAGUAUCUAUGAGAGGGCAAGUCUGGUGCCAGCAGCCGCGGUAAUUCCAGCU
This 507-nucleotide ribosomal RNA is filed under the name Eucephalobus striatus. RNAcentral describes it as "SSU rRNA". It matches the Rfam family "Eukaryotic small subunit ribosomal RNA", at positions 88 to 590 of the family's 1831-position model. The record is from RNAcentral. Lineage: Eukaryota; Metazoa; Nematoda; Chromadorea; Rhabditida; Cephalobidae.